CGUUGGAAUCUGAGAGGGAACGCGUGCAAGGGGGAUGAUAUUGUUGUCUUUAUCCCUUUUUAUAAGUUCACGGUAAAACUUCUGAUUGGUCUGAGUUAGUAGUUUCCUAUAAAAUCAUUUCUUCCGCCUCUAUUUCCGUCUCACUUCACGUCACUUAAAAUUUUUUCAAGAAAUACAGUUGUCGAAUGAAUUGCUGUCAUAUUUUAGUAAUACAAUGCCGAAAAUAGCCACUUACUUCUGCCUCUUUUUGAUACGGAUAUAAAUAUAAGUUGGAUGUUAUCCUCCGUGUUUAGAGUUGUGGCUUUACUUUAUGCAAUUGGUUGGGGACCGUAGCUGAUAACGCACGCGGCUCAAGAAAUUGGUGAUCGCACCGGCGUUAUGCUGUUGUUGUCGUGGUAAUAGGGAACCAGACGAGGUGCAGGUGCAAAGAGAGAGAGACGGGAUUACCACCAGGAAAGAGAGACGAAAAGAAACGAUGAAGAAAUUGGUGAUGAAGUAUCAGUUAAGGGGCCGCUACUUUGAAAAAUGUGAGGAAGACAACCUAAGUGGAGAUGACACAACGGAUGACAAAAAAGGGAAAGCAGGAAAAAAAGAGAGUUCCCAGUUCAUUGAGGAAAACAUUAAGUUACUUAAACGAUUGGUUGAUCGUUAGACGAAGGAGCUUGCCAAACUUAAUGAGAUGAUGGACACAUAAUUUUCACAG
Molecule: long non-coding RNA, 703 nt
Organism: Pocillopora damicornis (cauliflower coral)
Lineage: Eukaryota; Metazoa; Cnidaria; Anthozoa; Scleractinia; Pocilloporidae
Source: RefSeq, a predicted model, not a curated record